Branchiostoma floridae (Florida lancelet) is the source of this 217-nucleotide long non-coding RNA. RefSeq lists it as uncharacterized. NCBI's taxonomy places the organism in Eukaryota, Metazoa, Chordata, Leptocardii, Amphioxiformes, Branchiostomatidae. The transcript is spliced from 3 exons. The record is from RefSeq and is a predicted model, not a curated record.
AAAGGACCACGGCUCUCCCUUCUCAACUGCAACCUCAAGUGACAACACUAAUGACGGAAUGCGCCGUCCACACAGUACCCCGGAAGUACAAAAAGUUGAAACCUCGACAGGAGUCGACGAUGACAUUGUAUACGAAGAACAUCUACAGGAUGGCUGCAGGGCCCUGCAGACUGGAGACCUGGACAAGGCAGAACAAAGUUUUGCAGCUGCGCUCAAG